GUCGCGAGCCGUACUUCUUCCGGAAGUCAGUGCCUAUUACCAUAGCAACUGUUCCUGUUGGACCUGCGGGCUUCACACAGUCUCAACAGACAGGUUCCGUUCUAUCCUGGAACUCAAGCGCAAGUCUGGAGAUUGACCCUCCCAUGUGCUGGGAUUUCUGGCUUCAGCCACUAUGCCAUGUUUUAGCUCCCUCAGCUCAUCAGAACACGGUUCUUCAUCGUGUCCUCACUUGCUGACAGAAGACCGG
This is a long non-coding RNA of Apodemus sylvaticus (European woodmouse), 247 nucleotides long. RefSeq lists it as uncharacterized. Lineage: Eukaryota; Metazoa; Chordata; Mammalia; Rodentia; Muridae. The transcript has 3 exons. The record is from RefSeq and is a predicted model, not a curated record.